AGCGGCGCAAGGGUGCGUAACACGUGGGCAAUCUGCCAUGAAGUUUGGAAUAACUUGCUGAAAGGCGAGCUAAUGCCGGAUGUGAACGUCGGGAGGCAUCUCCUGACGUUUAAAGCUGGGGACCGUAAGGCCUGGCGCUUCAUGAUGAGCCCGCGGCCUAUCAGCUAGUUGGUGAGGUAACGGCCCACCAAGGCUAAGACGGGUAGCUGGUCUGAGAGGACGACCAGCCACACUGGAACUGAGACACGGUCCAGACACCUACGGGUGGCAGCAGUCGAGAAUUUUUCACAAUGGGCGAAAGCCUGAUGGAGCGACGCCGCGUGGGGGAUGAAUGGCUUCGGCCCGUAAACCCCUGUCAUUCGGGAUCAAUGCCUGCGGUCUAAUACGUCGCAGGUUGAUAGUACCGGAAGAGGAAGGGACGGCUAACUCUGUGCCAGCAGCCGCGGUAAUACAGAGGUCCCAAGCGUUGUUCGGAUUUACUGGGCGUAAAGGGUGCGUAGGUGGUCGGGUAAGUCUGAUGUGAAAUCUCCGAGCUUAACUCGGAAACUGCAUUGGA
RNAcentral lists this ribosomal RNA (556 nucleotides) under uncultured bacterium. RNAcentral's name for it is "bacterial SSU rRNA". It matches the Rfam family "Bacterial small subunit ribosomal RNA", at positions 94 to 630 of the family's 1533-position model. The record is from RNAcentral.